This 831-nucleotide ribosomal RNA is filed under the name Bacillus siamensis. Its description in RNAcentral is "bacterial SSU rRNA". It matches the Rfam family "Bacterial small subunit ribosomal RNA", at positions 378 to 1201 of the family's 1533-position model. Lineage: Bacteria; Bacillati; Bacillota; Bacilli; Caryophanales; Bacillaceae. The record is from RNAcentral.
GAAGUCUGACGGAGCACGCCGCGUGAGUGAUGAAGGUUUUCGGAUCGUAAAGCUCUGUUGUUAGGGAAGAACAAGUGCCGUUCAAAUAGGGCGGCACCUUGACGGUACCUAACCAGAAAGCCACGGCUAACUACGUGCCAGCAGCCGCGGUAAUACGUAGGUGGCAAGCGUUGUCCGGAAUUAUUGGGCGUAAAGGGCUCGCAGGCGGUUUCUUAAGUCUGAUGUGAAAGCCCCCGGCUCAACCGGGGAGGGUCAUUGGAAACUGGGGAACUUGAGUGCAGAAGAGGAGAGUGGAAUUCCACGUGUAGCGGUGAAAUGCGUAGAGAUGUGGAGGAACACCAGUGGCGAAGGCGACUCUCUGGUCUGUAACUGACGCUGAGGAGCGAAAGCGUGGGGAGCGAACAGGAUUAGAUACCCUGGUAGUCCACGCCGUAAACGAUGAGUGCUAAGUGUUAGGGGGUUUCCGCCCCUUAGUGCUGCAGCUAACGCAUUAAGCACUCCGCCUGGGGAGUACGGUCGCAAGACUGAAACUCAAAGGAAUUGACGGGGGCCCGCACAAGCGGUGGAGCAUGUGGUUUAAUUCGAAGCACGCGAAGAACCUUACCAGGUCUUGACAUCCUCUGACAAUCCUAGAGAUAGGACGUCCCCUUCGGGGGCAGAGUGACAGGUGGUGCAUGGUUGUCGUCACCUCGUGUCGUGAGAUGUUGGGUUAAGUCCCGCAACAAGCGCAAACCCUUGAUCUUAUUGCCCACCAUUCAGUUGGGCACUCUAAGGUGACUGGCCGGGGACAACCCGUAGGAAGGUGGGGCUCACCUCAAUUCUUCUUGCACC